This 447-nucleotide ribosomal RNA is filed under the name uncultured bacterium. Its description in RNAcentral is "bacterial SSU rRNA". It matches the Rfam family "Bacterial small subunit ribosomal RNA", at positions 330 to 793 of the family's 1533-position model. The record is from RNAcentral.
UCCAGACUCCUACGGGAGGCAGCAGUGGGGAAUAUUGCACAAUGGGGGGAACCCUGAUGCAGCGACGCCGCGUGGGUGAAGGAGUAUUUCGGUAUGUAAAGUCCUAUCAGCAGGGAAGAACAAUGACGGUACCUGACUAAGAAGCACCGGCUAAAUACGUGCCAGCAGCCGCGGUAAUACGUAUGGUGCAAGCGUUAUCCGGAUUUACUGGGUGUAAAGGGAGCGCAGGCGGCGCGUUAAGCCUGGUGUGAAGGCCCGCGGCCCAACCGCGGGACUGCAUUGGGAACUGGCGCGCUGGAGUGCCGGAGGGGUAGGCGGAAUUCCUAGUGUAGCGGUGAAAUGCGUAGAUAUCAGGAGGAACACCGGCGGCGAAGGCGGCCUGCUGGACCGUAACUGACGUUGAGGCUCGAAAGCGUGGGGAGCAAACAGGAUUAGAUACCCCCGUAA